UGGCGGACGGGUGAGUAAUGUCUGGGAAACUGCCCGAUGGAGGGGGAUAACUACUGGAAACGGUAGCUAAUACCGCAUAACGUCGCAAGACCAAAGAGGGGGACCUUAGGGCCUCUUGCCAUCGGAUGUGCCCAGAUGGGAUUAGCUAGUAGGUGGGGUAAUGGCUCACCUAGGCGACGAUCCCUAGCUGGUCUGAGAGGAUGACCAGCCACACUGGAACUGAGACACGGUCCAA
This 235-nucleotide ribosomal RNA is filed under the name uncultured bacterium. Its description in RNAcentral is "partial 16S ribosomal RNA". It matches the Rfam family "Bacterial small subunit ribosomal RNA", at positions 96 to 334 of the family's 1533-position model. The record is from RNAcentral.